RNAcentral lists this ribosomal RNA (504 nucleotides) under uncultured bacterium. Its description in RNAcentral is "partial 16S ribosomal RNA". It matches the Rfam family "Bacterial small subunit ribosomal RNA", at positions 30 to 523 of the family's 1533-position model. The record is from RNAcentral.
AUUGAACGCUGGCGGCAGGCCUAACACAUGCAAGUCGAACGGUAGCACAGAGAGCUUGCUCUCGGGUGACGAGUGGCGGACGGGUGAGUAAUGUCUGGGAAACUGCCCGAUGGAGGGGGAUAACUACUGGAAACGGUAGCUAAUACCGCAUAACGUCGCCAGACCAAAGUGGGGGAACUUCGGGCCUCACACCAUCGGAUGUGCCCAAAUGGGAUUAGCUAGUAGGUGGGGUAAUGGCUCACCUAGGCGACGAUCCCUAGCUGGUCUGAGAGGAUGACCAGCCACACUGGAACUGAGACACGGUCCAGACUCCUACGGGAGGCAGCAGUGGGGAAUAUUGCACAAUGGGCGCAAGCCUGAUGCAGCCAUGCCGCGUGUAUGAAGAAGGCCUUCGGGUUGUAAAGUACUUUCAGCGGGGAGGAAGGCGGUGAAGUUAAUAGCUUCACCGAUUGACGUUACCCGCAGAAGAAGCACCGGCUAACUCCGUGCCAGCAGCCGCCGUAA